This 205-nucleotide long non-coding RNA is filed under the name Elaeis guineensis (African oil palm). RNAcentral's name for it is "long non-coding RNA (EGUI_LNC077847)". The record is from RNAcentral. Lineage: Eukaryota; Viridiplantae; Streptophyta; Magnoliopsida; Arecales; Arecaceae.
GGUGUGAGGAAUCCUUGUGCGUGAGGUGAAGGUCCAUAUCCUUCCGAGAGAAAAAGAAAGAAAAGAAAGAAAAAAAGAUGCGCAGGGUUUUAGUAAGUUCCCCAGGGUUUCAGCCUAGGGUUCGGGAAGUGAGAAGGUGAGCUACGAGUGUCGUGAGCCCACCAAAUUUUAGAGAGAUCUUCAUCAUCCUCUCAAGCAUAUCUAC